This 429-nucleotide ribosomal RNA is filed under the name uncultured bacterium. RNAcentral's name for it is "bacterial SSU rRNA". It matches the Rfam family "Bacterial small subunit ribosomal RNA", at positions 355 to 776 of the family's 1533-position model. The record is from RNAcentral.
UCGAGAAUCAUUCACAAUGGGGGCAACCCUGAUGGUGCAACGCCGCGUGUGGGAUGAAGGCCUUAGGGUCGUAAACCGCUGUCAUGUGAGAGUAAGGCAUAAUCGUUAAUAGCUUUUAUGUUUGAUAGUAUCACAAGAGGAAGGGACGGCUAACUUCGUGCCAGCAGCCGCGGUAAUACGAAGGUCCCGAGCGUUAUUCGGAAUCACUGGGCGUAAAGGGAGCGUAGGCUGCGCGGUAAGUCAGAUGUGAAAUCUCAGAGCUCAACUCUGAAACUGCAUCCGAUACUGCCGUGCUAGAGUAAUGGAGGGGUAACUGGAAUUCUCAGUGUAGCAGUGAAAUGCGUAGAUAUUGAGAGGAAGACCAACGGCGAAGGCAGGUUACUGGACAUUUACUGACGCUGAGGCUCGAAGGCUAGGGUAGCGAAAGGG